GUGGGGAAUCUUGCGCAAUGGGCGAAAGCCUGACGCAGCCAUGCCGCGUGAAUGAUGAAGGUCUUAGGAUUGUAAAAUUCUUUCACCGGGGACGAUAAUGACGGUACCCGGAGAAGAAGCUCCGGCUAACUUCGUGCCAGCAGCCGCGGUAAUACGAAGGGGGCUAGCGUUGCUCGGAAUUACUGGGCGUAAAGGGCGCGUAGGCGGACAGCUUAGUCAGAGGUGAAAGCCCAGGGCUCAACCUUGGAAUUGCCUUUGAUACUGGCUGUCUUGAGUGUGGGAGAGGUGAGUGGAAUUCCGAGUGUAGAGGUGAAAUUCGUAGAUAUUCGGAGGAACACCAGUGGCGAAGGCGGCUCACUGGCUCGAUACUGACGCUGAGGUGCGAAAGCGUGGGGAGCAAACAGGAUUAGAAACCCGGGUAGUCC
Molecule: ribosomal RNA, 425 nt
Filed under: uncultured bacterium
Lineage: Bacteria
Description: partial 16S ribosomal RNA
Rfam family: Bacterial small subunit ribosomal RNA
Source: RNAcentral